Molecule: ribosomal RNA, 680 nt
Filed under: uncultured Gammaproteobacteria bacterium
Lineage: Bacteria; Pseudomonadati; Pseudomonadota; Gammaproteobacteria
Description: bacterial SSU rRNA
Rfam family: Bacterial small subunit ribosomal RNA
Source: RNAcentral
AUCUUCGGAUAUGAGUAGAGCGGCGGACGGGUGAGUAACGCGUAGGAAUCUACCUAGUAGAAGGGGAUAGCCCGGGGAAACCCGGAUUAAUACCGUAUACCUCCUUCGGGAGAAAGAAGGCCUCUCUUUGAAGCUUUCGCUACUAGAUGAGCCUGCGUAAGAUUAGCUUGUUGGUGAGGUAAAGGCUCACCAAGGCUACGAUCUUUAGCUGGUCUGAGAGGACGAUCAGCCACAUUGGGACUGAGACACGGCCCAGACUCCUACGGGAGGCAGCAGUGGGGAAUAUUGGACAAUGGGCGCAAGCCUGAUCCAGCCAUACCGCGUGUGUGAAGAAGGCCUUCGGGUUGUAAAGCACUUUAAGCAGGGAGAAAAAGUUAUAAGUUAAUACCUUAUAACCCUGAUGUUACCUGCAGAAUAAGCACCGGCUAAUUCCGUGCCAGCAGCCGCGGUAAUACGGAAGGUGCAAGCGUUAGUCGGAAUUACUGGGCGUAAAGCGCGCGUAGGUGGUUUGUUAAGUUGGAUGUGAAAGCCCUGGGCUCAACCUAGGAACUGCAUCCAAAACUAACUCACUAGAGUACGAUAGAGGGAGGUAGAAUUCAUAGUGUAGCGGUGGAAUGCGUAGAUAUUAUGAAGAAUACCAGUGGCGAAGGCGGCCUCCUGGAUCUGUACUGACACUGAGG